UUCGCCCUUAGAGUUUGAUCCUGGCUCAGGACGAACGCUGGCGGCGUGCCUAACACAUGCAAGUCGAGCGAGGUACCCAUUUGAUUUCCUUCGGGGAUGAAGAUGGACUACCUAGCGGCGGAUGGGUGAGUAACACGUGAGCAACCUGCCCUGGAGUGGGGGAUACCAUCUGGAAACGGAUGUUAAUUCCGCAUAAAGUGUAGAGAGGACCUCCUUUUUACACCAAAGAUUUAUCGCUCUGGGAUGGGCUCGCGCCUGAUUAGCUAGUUGGUGAGAUAACGGCUCACCAAGGCAACGAUCAGUAGCUGGACUGAGAGGUCGAUCGGCCACAUUGGGACUGAGACACGGCCCAGACUCCUACGGGAGGCAGCAGUGGGGGAUAUUGCACAAUGGAGGAAACUCUGAUGCAGCGACGUCGCGUGAACGAAGAAGGCCUUCGGGUUGUAAAGUUCUGUCAGUGGGGAUGAUAAUGACAGUACCCACAGAGGAAGCCACGGCUAACUACGUGCCAGCAGCCGCGGUAAUACGUAGGUGGCGAGCGUUGUCCGGAAUUACUGGGUGUAAAGGGAGCGUAGGCGGGGAAUUAAGUUGGAUGUGUAAUACCGUGGCUUAACUGCGGGGCUGCAUCCGAAACUGGUUCUCUUGAGUGAGGUAGAGGUAAGCGGAAUUCCUAGUGGAGCGGUGAAAUGCGUAGAUAUUAGGAGGAACACCAGUGGCGAAGGCGGCUUACUGGGCCUUAACUGACGCUGAUGCUCGAAAGCGUGGGGAGCAAACAGGAUUAGAUACCCUGGUAGUCCACGCUGUAAACGAUGAUUACUAGGUGUGGGGGGUCUGACCCCUUCCGUGCCGGAGCUAACGCAAUAAGUAAUCCACCUGGGGAGUACGGCCGCAAGGCUGAAACUCAAAGGAAUUGACGGGGGCCCGCACAAGCAGUGGAUUAUGUGGUUUAAUUCGACGCAACGCGAAGAACCUUACCAGGUCUUGACAUCCCGUGCAUAGCUUAGAGAUAAGUGAAGUCCUUCGGGACACGGUGACAGGUGGUGCAUGGUUGUCGUCAGCUCGUGUCGUGAGAUGUUCGGUUAAGUCCGGCAACGAGCGCAACCCUUACGGUCAGUUGCUACGCAAGAGCACUCUGGCAGGACUGCCGUUGACAAAACGGAGGAAGGUGGGGAUGACGUCAAAUCAUCAUGCCCCUUAUGACCUGGGCUACACACGUAAUACAAUGGCACUUAACAACGGGAAGCGAAGCCGCGAGGUGGAGCGAAACCUACAAAAAGUGUCUCAGUUCGGAUCGCAGUCUGCAACUCGACUGCGUGAAGUCGGAAUUGCUAGUAAUCGCGGAUCAGCAUGCCGCGGUGAAUACGUUCCCGGGCCUUGUACUCACCGCCCGUCA
RNAcentral lists this ribosomal RNA (1393 nucleotides) under uncultured bacterium. Its description in RNAcentral is "16S ribosomal RNA". It matches the Rfam family "Bacterial small subunit ribosomal RNA". The record is from RNAcentral.